Molecule: long non-coding RNA, 631 nt
Filed under: Volvox carteri
Lineage: Eukaryota; Viridiplantae; Chlorophyta; Chlorophyceae; Chlamydomonadales; Volvocaceae
Description: long non-coding RNA (VCAR_LNC003001)
Source: RNAcentral
CUCCCCUGCGGCCCCCUAGCCCAAUGCUGUCCUCCCCUGCGGCCCCCUAGCCCAACGCCGUCCUCCCCUGCGGCCCCCUAGCCUAAUGCCGUCCUCCCCUGCGGCCCCCUAGCCUAACGCCGUCCUCCCCUGUGGCCCCCCUAGCCCAACACCGUCCUCUCCUGCGGCCCCCUACCCCAACGCUGUCCUCCCCUGCGGCACCCCUAGCCCAACACCGUCCUCCCCUGCGGCCCCCUAGCCCAAUGCCGUCCUCCCCUGCGGCCCCCUAGCCUAACGCCGUCCUCCCCCUGUGGCCCCCUAGCCUAACACCGUCCUCCCCUGCGGCCCCCUAGCCUAACGCCGUCCUCCCCUGCGGCCCCCUAGCCUAACGCCGUCCUCCCCUGCGGCCCCCUAGCCUAACGGCGUCCUCCCCCUGCGGCCCCCUAGCCCAACGCCGUCCUCCCCUGCGGCCCCCCUAGCCCAACGCUGUCCUCCCCUGUGGCCCCCUAGCCUAACGCCGUCCUCCCCCUGCGGCCCCCUAGCCCAACGCCGUCCUCCCCCGCGGCCCCCUAGCCUAACGCCGUCCUCCCCUGCGGCCCCCUAGCCCAACGCCGUCCUCCCCUGCGGCCCCCCUAGCCCAACGCUGUCCUCC